RNAcentral lists this ribosomal RNA (590 nucleotides) under uncultured bacterium. RNAcentral describes it as "bacterial SSU rRNA". It matches the Rfam family "Bacterial small subunit ribosomal RNA", at positions 102 to 694 of the family's 1533-position model. The record is from RNAcentral.
ACGGGUGCGUAACACGUGAGGAACAUGACCUUCGGCGGGGGAUAGCCGGCCCAACGGCCGGGUAAUACCGCGUACGACCAUUUGGGGACAUCCCCGAGUGGUGAAAGCAGCAAUGCGCCGAUGGAGUGCCUCGCGGCCUAUCAGCUAGUUGGUGAGGUAACGGCUCACCAAGGCAACGACGGGUAGCUGGUCUGAGAGGAUGGCCAGCCACAUUGGGACUGAGACACGGCCCAGACUCCUACGGGAGGCAGCAGUGGGGAAUAUUGCGCAAUGGACGAAAGUCUGACGCAGCGACGCCGCGUGUGGGAUGACGGUCUUCGGAUUGUAAACCACUGUCGGGAGGGACGAAUACGCCGCAAGGCGGGUGACGGUACCUCCAAAGGAAGCACCGGCUAACUCCGUGCCAGCAGCCGCGGUAAUACGGAGGGUGCGAGCGUUGUCCGGAAUCACUGGGCGUAAAGGGCGCGUAGGCGGCCUGAUAAGUAGGGGGUGAAAUCCUGCGGCUUAACCGCAGGGCUGCCUUCUAAACUGUCAGGCUUGAGCACAGUAGAGGCAGGUGGAAUUCCCGGUGUAGCGGUGGAAUGCGUAGA